AGACUCUGAACUGGCUCCCUACGGAAUGAGUCAGAAAGACGACUGCACUCACUGAGUUAGACAUGGCCUAGACAAGAGAAGAAUUAUGAGUACGGUAGACAACAAUGGCCCUUGCCACCUGAGCAGUCUGCAGGAAUAUACUGCACCAUUGGGAAUUCUGGAUUUCACUGCCAGCAAGCUCUGACAGGCUGCCCAUCACAUGUGGUGUGACUCUGACCUCUGGAGGGAAGGACAAUAGAAGGACUCAUCAGGCUGUCAUGGAGGCACUAAUGCUACAGAACCAACUCCCAGCAGAAGCUCUGGGCUCCAAACCUUGGGUGAAGUCCCUUAGCUGGUAAUGCCUCUAUGGCACUGUCCCUCACUGGUGCUGAGAAUUAAAUACUGUUCAUACAGCUCUGAGGGGAGAGGGGAACGGAGUUCGUGCCUGGUCCCUCCUG
RNAcentral lists this long non-coding RNA (437 nucleotides) under Mus pahari (shrew mouse). Its description in RNAcentral is "lncRNA (MGP_PahariEiJ_G0003120.1)". The record is from RNAcentral. Lineage: Eukaryota; Metazoa; Chordata; Mammalia; Rodentia; Muridae.